Molecule: ribosomal RNA, 253 nt
Filed under: uncultured bacterium
Lineage: Bacteria
Description: partial 16S ribosomal RNA
Rfam family: Bacterial small subunit ribosomal RNA
Source: RNAcentral
CACGGGGGGUGCAAGCGUUAUUCGGAAUUAUUGGGCGUAAAGGGCGCGCAGGCGGAAAUGCAGGUCAGAUGUGAAAUCCCGGGGCUCACCCCCGGAAGUGCAUUUGAAACCGUGUUUCUUGAAUAUGGUAGAGGGUAGUGGAAUUCCUGGUGUAGAGGUGAAAUUCGUAGAUAUCAGGAGGAACACCGGUGGCGAAGGCGACUACCUGGACCAAUAUUGACGCUGAGGCGCGAAGGCGUGGGGAGCAAACAGG